GACGGGACCGCACAAGCGGUGGAUGAUGUGGUUUAAUUCGAUGCAACGCGAAAAACCUUACCCACCUUUGACAUGUACGGAAGUUGCCAGAGAUGGCUUCGUGCUCGAAAGAGAGCCGUAACACAGGUGCUGCAUGGCUGUCGUCAGCUCGUGUCGUGAGAUGUUGGGUUAAGUCCCGCAACGAGCGCAACCCUUGUCAUUAGUUGCUACGAAAGGGCACUCUAAUGAGACUGCCGGUGACAAACCGGAGGAAGGUGGGGAUGACGUCAAGUCCUCAUGGCCCUUAUAGGUGGGGCUACACACGUCAUACAAUGGCUGGUACAAAGGGUUGCCAACCCGCGAGGGGGAGCCAAUCCCAUAAAGCCAGUCGUAGUCCGGAUCGCAGUCUGCAACUCGACUGCGUGAAGUCGGAAUCGCUAGUAAUCGUGGAUCAGCAUGUCACGGUGAAUACGUUCCCGGGUCUU
RNAcentral lists this ribosomal RNA (464 nucleotides) under uncultured Hydrogenophaga sp. RNAcentral's name for it is "bacterial SSU rRNA". It matches the Rfam family "Bacterial small subunit ribosomal RNA", at positions 917 to 1381 of the family's 1533-position model. Lineage: Bacteria; Pseudomonadati; Pseudomonadota; Betaproteobacteria; Burkholderiales; Comamonadaceae. The record is from RNAcentral.